CCCGCUGAACUUAAGCAUAUCAAUAAGCGGAGGAAAAGAAACUAACAAGGAUUCCCUUAGUAACGGCGAGUGAAGUGGGAUGAGCUCAAAUUUAAAAUCUGGCAAAUGGCUUGCCCGAGUUGUAGUUCAUAGAAAUGUUUUCGGUGGCAGUCUUGGGGUAUAAGUUCUUUGGAAUAGGAUAUCAUAGAGGGUGAGAAUCCCGUCUUUGACCCUGAGGUGCGCCACUAUGUGAUACAUAUUCAAAGAGUCGAGUUGUUUGAGAAUGCAGCUCAAAAUGGGUGGUAAAUUUCAUCUAAAGCUAAAUAAUGGCGAGAGACCGAUAGCGAACAAGUACCAUGAGGGAAAGAUGAAAAGAACUUUGAAAAGAGAGUUAAACAGUGCGUGAAAUUGUUGAAAGGGAAACAUUUGACACCAGUCAUGUGGCAGGAAAUCAGCUUUCAUUGACUUACUAUCUUGUGUCUGUAGAGAAAAAAAUUCCUACUGCGAGAGUAUAGGCAAAGCCAAAGUCUGCGCACUUUUCUGUUAGCAGGUCAACAUCAGUUUUGAUUGCCAGAAAAAAGUAAAAGGAAUGUGACUCCCUUGGGAGUGUUAUAACCUUUACCGAUAUGGUGGUUGGGACUGAGGACUGCAGCUUGUGCUCUUACUGGGCAGGAUAAUCUGCGGCUGUUGUUAAAACUUCAGUAGUAAACUGCAUGCAGGUUGUUAUUGGGGUGGCGACAGUUGUUGGAAGUUAUCACUUGCAAGCUUAGGAUGUUGACAUAAUGGUUUUAAAUGACCCGUCUUGAAACACGG
This 792-nucleotide ribosomal RNA is filed under the name uncultured fungus. RNAcentral's name for it is "eukaryotic LSU rRNA". It matches the Rfam family "Eukaryotic large subunit ribosomal RNA", at positions 24 to 664 of the family's 3401-position model. Lineage: Eukaryota; Fungi. The record is from RNAcentral.